RNAcentral lists this small RNA (681 nucleotides) under Drosera spatulata. RNAcentral describes it as "eukaryotic LSU rRNA". The stretch from base 298 to 454 matches the Rfam family "5.8S ribosomal RNA". Lineage: Eukaryota; Viridiplantae; Streptophyta; Magnoliopsida; Caryophyllales; Droseraceae. The record is from RNAcentral.
UUGAAACCUCGAUCAAAAUGAACUAACUUGCGCACGUGUCAACCAAAUAGAGGGGAUGGAGCGUGUCGUGUGAGAGACCCCUCCGCAUCGCCUCCCCCCUCAAAUGUCAUCCUAGCAUGGUCGUGAGGCGGCUUCUCACUUUAUGUGGGAUGCUUGUCGAGCGGCGACGAUAGCUACAGCAGCAUAACCCAACCCCGGCGUAAGUCGCACCAAGGAAAAUAGAUAUGCAACCUCCGUGCUCCCCAUCGGCUUAGGCAAUGAGAGCCGGUAUUGUGUUAAUUAAUGCAUAUAAGAGAUGACUCUCGGCAACAGAUAUCUCAGCUCUUGCAUCGGUGAAGAACGUAGCGAAAUACGAUACUUGGUGUGAAUUGCAGAAUCCCGUGAACCAUCGAGUCUUUGAACGCAAGUUGCGCCCGAGGCCACUACGGCCGAGGGCACGCCUGUCUGGGCGUCGCAUGCAGCGUCACCCGACACCUUCUCCCCGCGUGGAGGUGUCGGUGGAGUAUGGCCUCCCGUGUCGUAGGUCUCGACGCGGUUGGCCCAAAUGGGAAGCUCGGGGCAACGGAUGCCGUGACAAUGGGUGGUCAGCGAGGCCGAAAGGCACGGUCACGACGUCUUGUCACCGCACGGUUUCCCGCCGCUUGUUUCGGUCCCGUCCCGCCGCCAUGGCGGGAUGCACGA